UGAGGGGGCGGGGCCUUCCUGCUUCCCUCAGGCGCUACCCCGGGGCGCUGGGGGAGGGGGGCCUAAGGAGGGGCCAGAGGAGGGGGUAGGGGAGAGGCGAAGCCGGUCCUCCACAGUCGUCUGCAGGCGCUGCUGUUUAUGUCGGCGUCAUAUCCAAGGGAACAUUGCUGUCCUGAAAGUAACCUGCAGAGGCGUCAGCCACCAGACCAAUGUCCUCAGACUUGAGCUGCAGAAGAAGGGGGUUCUGCAAUGUGGAGCAGAUUCUGAAGGCUAGCACUGAGAUUCUGAUAAGGUGUGUCUCCGUCUUACCUAGAGGGGCCUGCAACUUCCAACGCCAGCUGCUGACUCAUCGUGACCCAACAGGCACUGCCAGGUGGCCUUCAGGUACCUCAGCGUGUCUGGGUGGGAGGCAUCACAGCUGAACAGGAAGUCGGCGGCCCUCGGGUCACUGAUGGAGCCCCCUUCGGCCACUGUGGAGAGUAAUGGGCGGGAAAAGCCUGCGGCAAGAAGGUGAGGCGUCUGGCUGGCACUGCUGGAGAGCUGACCGGCUCUGAGGCUGUGGAGAGACCGUUCAGCUUUCCCCUGACAUUGCGGAGAGCGCCUAGUCACGUUGGUGAGUUUUAAACCCUCAGUAUUCAAGUUAUUGUGCUAUUGUUACAGGCAUGGGCACAGGUUCUGUGGCAUCAAGCAUUAUUUUGCAGCAAAACUCAUUGUAUCAUUUCAUUUAUAAGUGUUUCAGUUACAAUCUCUAAAGAUAAGGAGUUUCAAAAAAGCAAAACCACAAUACCAUUAUCACACUUAAAAAUAGUAAUUCUUUAAUAUUGUCAAAUUUCACCGGUGCCGAAAUUUCCGGUUUUUUUCAAAAUUAUGUUUUUCUUUUACAGUUUCCACCACCACCACACUUUGCUUCCUUGCAUCACUUUUGAUAAAGUCUAUUUUCCUGGUGUUGGGUCCAUUAAAUCGAAACUCUCAAAAAUACUGAUAUAAAGCCUAUAAAACAUUUUACUAUCUUUUUUAAUGCCUGCAGGUUCUGUAACAAUGGUUCCUUAUUCAUUUCUGUUAUUAGCUAUUUGUGCCUUUUUAUUUCUUAGUCUCACCAGAAGUUUGUCAAUUUUAUUAGCCUUUUCAAAGAACAAACUUGUGGCUCUUUGUUGAUACUCUUUUAUGUGU
Molecule: long non-coding RNA, 1170 nt
Organism: Lynx canadensis (Canada lynx)
Lineage: Eukaryota; Metazoa; Chordata; Mammalia; Carnivora; Felidae
Exons: 3
Source: RefSeq, a predicted model, not a curated record